GGGUAUAGCACAGUGGUAGAGCACAUGCUUAGCAUGCAGGAGGUCCUAGGUUCAAUCCCCAGUACUUCCA
RNAcentral lists this transfer RNA (70 nucleotides) under Camelus bactrianus (Bactrian camel). It matches the Rfam family "tRNA". Rfam says of the family: Transfer RNA (tRNA) molecules are approximately 80 nucleotides in length. Their secondary structure includes four short double-helical elements and three loops (D, anti-codon, and T loops). Lineage: Eukaryota; Metazoa; Chordata; Mammalia; Artiodactyla; Camelidae. RNAcentral also lists the same sequence under 2 other names. The record is from Rfam by way of RNAcentral.